CCUACGGGAGGCAGCAGUCGGGAAUAUUGCGCAAUGGAGGAAACUCUGACGCAGUGACGCCGCGUGCAGGAAGAAGGUUUUCGGAUUGUAAACUGCUUUAGAUAGGGAAGAAAAAAAUGACAGUACCUAUAGAAUAAGCUCCGGCUAACUACGUGCCAGCAGCCGCGGUAAUACGUAGGGAGCAAGCGUUAUCCGGAUUUAUUGGGUGUAAAGGGUGCGUAGAUGGAUAAACAAGUUGUUUGUGAAAUACCUCGGCUCAACUGAGGAACUGCAAGCAAAACUGUAUAUCUUGAGUACUGGGGGGGAAAGCGGAAUUCCUAGUGUAGCGGUGAAAUGCGUAGAUAUUAGGAAGAACACCGGUGGCGAAGGCGGCUUUCUGGACAGAAACUGACAUUGAGGCACGAAAGUGUGGGGAGCAAACAGGAUUAGAUACCCUAGUAGUC
RNAcentral lists this ribosomal RNA (443 nucleotides) under uncultured bacterium. Its description in RNAcentral is "partial 16S ribosomal RNA". It matches the Rfam family "Bacterial small subunit ribosomal RNA", at positions 338 to 795 of the family's 1533-position model. The record is from RNAcentral.